Molecule: transfer RNA, 76 nt
Filed under: Acidobacteriota bacterium
Lineage: Bacteria; Pseudomonadati; Acidobacteriota
Also listed under: 1 other name
Description: Acidobacteria bacterium (sponge metagenome) tRNA-Phe
Rfam family: tRNA
About the family: Transfer RNA (tRNA) molecules are approximately 80 nucleotides in length. Their secondary structure includes four short double-helical elements and three loops (D, anti-codon, and T loops).
Source: RNAcentral
GGGCUCGUAGCUCAGUCGGUAGAGCGAGGGCCUGAAAAGCCCUGCGUCGGUGGUUCAAUUCCGCCCGAGCCCACCA